CCAAUUUCAAAGAGGCAGCAGGCGCGCAAUUACCCAAUCCUGACUCAGGGAGGUAGUGACAAGAAAUAACAAUAAACCGGCUUAUGCCGGUUUAAUUGGAAUGAGUACAAUUUAAACAUCUUAACGAGGAACAAUUGGAGGGCAAGUCUGGUGCCAGCAGCCGCGGUAAUUCCAGCUCCAAUAGCGUAUACUAAAGUUGUUGCAGUUAAAAAGCUCGUAGUUGGAUUUCUGUGGGGACGGAGCGGCCGGCCGCACAUCGCGGUUCGAGCUAGCGCUUUCCCUACAUCCUGCCGCGAACCGUGCUACCAUUAAUUUGGUGGCGCUGGGGAUCGGCUCGAUUACUUUGAGAAAAAUAGAGUGUUCAAAGCAGGCCACAUGCCUUGAAUAAGUUAGCAUGGAAUAAUAACUAAGGACUUCGGUUCUAUUUUGUUGGUGUUCGGGACUGAAGUAAUGAUUGAUAGGGACAGUUGGGGCGGCCUGUAUUCCAAAGCGAGAGGUGAAAUUCUUAGACCUUCGGAAGACAAACAGCUGCGAAAGCGUUCCGCAAGGAUGUUCCCUUUGAUCAAGAACGAAAGUUGGGGGAUCGAAGACGAUCAGAUACCGUCGUAGUCUCAACUAUAAACUAUACCAGCGAGGGAUCGGCCAACGUUAUUUUAUACCGACUUGGUCGGCACCUUAUGAGAAAUCAAAGCAUCUGGGUUCCGGGGGGAGUAUGGUCGCAAGGCUGAAACUUAAAGGAAUUGACGGAAGGGCACCACCAGCCGUGGAGCCUGUGGCUUAAUUUGACUCAACACGGGAAAACUUACCAGGUCCAGACAUAGUAAGGAUUGACAGAUUGAUAGCUCUUUCUUGAUUCUGUGGGUGGUGGUGCAUGGCCGUUCUUAGUUGGUGGAGUGGUUUGUCUGGUUAAUUCCGUUAACGAACGAGACCCCAGCCUGCUAAAUAGCGCGCGUGAGCUUUGCUCGCGGCGAGCUUCUUAGAGGGACUAUGAUGCGCGAUAGCACAUGGAAGUUUGGGGCAAUAACAGGUCUGUGAUGCCCUUAGAUGUUCUGGGCCGCACACGGGCUACACUGGCGCCUGCAACGAGCGUAUCAGCUGGCCCGAGAGGGUCUUGGCUAAUCUUUUGAACCGGCGCCGUGCUUGGGAUUGACCUUUGCAAUUGUUGGUCAUGCAACGAGGAAUGCCUUGUAAACGCGAGUCAUCAGCUCGCAUUGAAUACGUCCCUGCCCUUUGUACACACCGCCCGUCGCUCCUACCGAUGAAUGUUCCGAUGAAAUUUUCGGAGAGCACCUGUGAACUUGGCUCUGCCUUGCGAACGGGAGGCUCAAAGUCACAUAAAUCUGAACAUUAG
This 1351-nucleotide ribosomal RNA is filed under the name uncultured marine eukaryote. RNAcentral describes it as "SSU rRNA". It matches the Rfam family "Eukaryotic small subunit ribosomal RNA", at positions 410 to 1775 of the family's 1831-position model. The record is from RNAcentral.